GAGGUUUUAGCUUAAUUAAAGUGUCUGAGUUGCAAUCAGGAGAUGUAGUUGUGAAUUUACAGGCCUUCAGAA
This 72-nucleotide transfer RNA is filed under the name Cyrtodactylus sp. RNAcentral's name for it is "tRNA-Ala". It matches the Rfam family "tRNA". Rfam says of the family: Transfer RNA (tRNA) molecules are approximately 80 nucleotides in length. Their secondary structure includes four short double-helical elements and three loops (D, anti-codon, and T loops). Lineage: Eukaryota; Metazoa; Chordata; Lepidosauria; Squamata; Gekkonidae. The record is from RNAcentral.